RNAcentral lists this long non-coding RNA (293 nucleotides) under Nicotiana tabacum (common tobacco). RNAcentral's name for it is "long non-coding RNA (NTAB_LNC017090)". The record is from RNAcentral. Lineage: Eukaryota; Viridiplantae; Streptophyta; Magnoliopsida; Solanales; Solanaceae.
ACAAUUGAGGCUCUCCGUUUCUCUGCAGUUCAUCCCAUAAGCUUCCUUGCAGUGCCCUAGUUACCUUGCUCCAAUGCAAAGGCUUUAAGUUAGAUCUUCGAGGAGCUACACCACUAGUUGUGCGUGAAAAUCCCUGCGUUCUCCCGGGAGGAAGGCCUCGGCCAACUGCCCCAGGUCCUUUAGCGCCAAAUGGUGGUGGUGGGGGAGGUCCACCACCUGGAGGUCUUGGAGCUCCUGGAGGAGGAGGUGGACCAGGUGCGCGUCCUCCCGGAGGGGGUGGGGGAGGUGGACCA